UGGAAAUGAUGAAAUAAAGAUAAUUGGGUGCUGAGUGUUAUAUGAUUAGAAAUUUUUCAUAUCUAAGUUAAGUAAUUAAUCUAGGUUUAAUAUUUUAUAGAUAGUUAAUAGAGUGUGUGUGUGCAUGCGUGUGUGUGUGUGUGUGUGUGUGCUUGUGGAGGCUAUGGAAAGGGGGCACUGAUUGGUGAUGCUGAUAUUGGAGUGCAUCUGAGGCUGUUGUAGACAUACAUGGGUUAUUGAUUACAACAUUGCCAAUGAUUAUAACCCAAGAACAGCUCACCUAAGUAGCCUAGCACCCUAAAAUCUUUAACAGGUUCAUUAAACAUGGUCCUGUGAUCUGAUCCAA
Non-coding RNA from Phyllostomus discolor (pale spear-nosed bat), 346 nucleotides. RefSeq annotates it as small Cajal body-specific RNA 7. The transcript has a single exon. Lineage: Eukaryota; Metazoa; Chordata; Mammalia; Chiroptera; Phyllostomidae. The record is from RefSeq and is a predicted model, not a curated record.